GAUGAACGCUGGCGGCGUGCCUAAUACAUGCAAGUCGAGCGAACAGACGAGGAGCUUGCUCCUCUGACGUUAGCGGCGGACGGGUGAGUAACACGUGGAUAACCUACCUAUAAGACUGGGAUAACUUCGGGAAACCGGAGCUAAUAGCGGAUAAUAUAUUGAACCGCAUGGUUCAAUAGUGAAAGACGGUUUUGCUGUCACUUAUAGAUGGAUCCGCGCCGCAUUAGCUAGUUGGUAAGGUAACGGCUUACCAAGGCAACGAUGCGUAGCCGACCUGAGAGGGUGAUCGGCCACACUGGAACUGAGACACGGUCCAGACUCCUACGGGAGGCAGCAGUAGGGAAUCUUCCGCAAUGGGCGAAAGCCUGACGGAGCAACGCCGCGUGAGUGAUGAAGGUCUUCGGAUCGUAAAACUCUGUUAUUAGGGAAGAACAAAUGUGUAAGUAACUAUGCACGUCUUGACGGUACCUAAUCAGAAAGCCACGGCUAACUACGUG
Molecule: ribosomal RNA, 497 nt
Filed under: uncultured bacterium
Lineage: Bacteria
Description: partial 16S ribosomal RNA
Rfam family: Bacterial small subunit ribosomal RNA
Source: RNAcentral